UAGGGAAUCUUCCGCAAUGGGCGAAAGCCUGACGGAGCAAUGCCGCGUGAGUGAAGAAGGCCUUCGGGUCGUAAAACUCUGUUAUAAGAGAAGAACAAAUUGUAGAGUAUCUGCUACAGUCUUGACGGUAUCUUAUCAGAAAGCCACGGCUAACUACGUGCCAGCAGCCGCGGUAAUACGUAGGUGGCAAGCGUUGUCCGGAUUUAUUGGGCGUAAAGGGAGCGCAGGUGGUUUCUUAAGUCUGAUGUGAAAGCCCACGGCUUAACCGUGGAGGGUCAUUGGAAACUGGGAAACUUGAGUACAGAAGAGGAAUGUGGAACUCCAUGUGUAGCGGUGGAAUGCGUAGAUAUAUGGAAGAACACCAGUGGCGAAGGCGACAUUCUGGUCUGUUACUGACACUGAGGCUCGAAAGCGUGGGGAGCAAACAGG
This 429-nucleotide ribosomal RNA is filed under the name Acidobacteriota bacterium. RNAcentral's name for it is "Acidobacteria bacterium partial 16S ribosomal RNA". It matches the Rfam family "Bacterial small subunit ribosomal RNA", at positions 355 to 776 of the family's 1533-position model. The record is from RNAcentral. Lineage: Bacteria; Pseudomonadati; Acidobacteriota.